CAUAGGUUAAUGAGGCGAACCGGGGGAACUGAAACAUCUAAGUACCCCGAGGAAAAGAAAUCAACCGAGAUUCCCCCAGUAGCGGCGAGCGAACGGGGAGGAGCCCAGAGCCUGAAUCAGUGUGUGUGUUAGUGGAAGCGUCUGGAAAGGCGCGCGAUACAGGGUGACAGCCCCGUACACAAAAAUGCACAUAUUGUGAGCUCGAUGAGUAGGGCGGGACACGUGGUAUCCUGUCUGAAUAUGGGGGGACCAUCCUCCAAGGCUAAAUACUCCUGACUGACCGAUAGUGA
This 290-nucleotide ribosomal RNA is filed under the name Escherichia coli. Its description in RNAcentral is "partial 23S ribosomal RNA". It matches the Rfam family "Bacterial large subunit ribosomal RNA", at positions 165 to 493 of the family's 2925-position model. Lineage: Bacteria; Pseudomonadati; Pseudomonadota; Gammaproteobacteria; Enterobacterales; Enterobacteriaceae. The record is from RNAcentral.